Long non-coding RNA from Mauremys mutica (yellowpond turtle), 1801 nucleotides. RefSeq lists it as uncharacterized. The transcript has 8 exons. The record is from RefSeq and is a predicted model, not a curated record. NCBI's taxonomy places the organism in Eukaryota, Metazoa, Chordata, Testudines, Geoemydidae.
GUUUUAUUAUGCCGGUGGGAGAGCUCUCUUCCUUCAGCAUGCAGCGUCUUCCUGAGAUGUGCUGCAGCAACACAGCUGCAUUGGUUAUCGCUAUACCUGUAGACAUGCCCAUAGACAGUGAGAGGUGGUUGGAAGAAUUCUGUUCACCACAUUCCCGCCUCUCAGCGAAGUGGAUGGGAGGGAUUCUCCCAUCAGUGUAGGUAGUGUCUACACUGAUGGGGUAUGCAGUCUUGCAGCCACACCGCUGUACCUUUUCAAGUGUAGACAAGCCCUGAGAGAGGGGCCUUCUUUUUAAUUCAACAGAGGUACAUGAUCUGUUAUCCAAGGGGGACCCGAGCCUGUGGAAAGGAUGGCAGGACUGAGGCCUGCCACGGUCCUCAGGGCUGAUGUGCGACUUCUGGUACUUUUAAUAUGUGUUUAGCUUUUGGUGUUGUUUUAUAUGUUUUCUUUGUGUCUUUAAAUAAAUGUCCUGUGCUUUGAGUGAGCCGGUUGGUGACUGGCAAAACAGCGUCCUUGGGGAGAAAAGCAACACGUGCAGGCUGGACUUUGCCCAGAGAGAGGUGAUCGCUAGAAACCUGAGAGGGCUCUUCUGGACCAGAUCGUGGAAGGAUGAGUCAAAGGUCUUUCCGGUUGAUGGCUUCCAGCACUGUUGUGGUCACCUCCAGCGCAUAAUCCAUUGUGUAGUAUCUGAUCAAGAGGACAACUCCCCACACCCUGAAGGAUGAACUAACGGGUGGGAGGAUCAGACCCUGAUGCAGGAUGUUUCACGUCCCCUGGAACAGGAAAAAGAAAAGGAGAGGACCCUGUCUCAAAAGCCCAGUGAGCAUAAGCUGUCAAGGAGGAAAGGAGAAUUGACAAUUUCAGGAAGAGCAGAGAGGUUGAAGGAUGAGGCCGGAGCAGAGAGACCCCAAGAUCUGAGGAGAAAGGGGCUAUGAAAGAUCCUAAUGAGAGCUGUUUCAAUGGAGUGGAAACAUCGGGAGCCAGAGAAUAACGGUUCAAGAUGGAGCUGGAAAAGAGGAAUUUGAUCCAUUAGUUGUCAACAGUCCAUUUGGUCUUUCUGGUUGAUGGCUUCCAGCACUGUUGUGGUCACCUCCAGCGCAUAAUCCAUUGUGUAGUGUCCAAUCAAGAGGACAACUCCCCACACCCUGAAGGAUGAACUAACUGGUGGGAGGAUCAGACCCUGAUGCAGGAUGUUCCACAUCCCCUGGAAGAGGAAAAAGCUAGAAUGGCGCAGGUGUUUCACACUCUCCAUCCCUAAAGAGAGCAAAGUCCUUCAAACACGGCAAGGAGGUGAAGGAGGCAAGAAGAGUGGCCAGAGACUAAACCCCAUUCUUAUAGGUGUGUCUUCACUGCAGCAUUAGUCCAGGCUACUACCCAGGAGCUGCCCUAACCUGCUUCCCAGCCACACACAGAAACCUCGCAUUUGGAUUUAGUGGUGCUUUAAACCCAGGAAACGUUCUGCUCCCCCCGAGUGAGCCGCUCCCCACAUGGACAGGCUUUGGGAGCUAUCAGGAGACAGAAACAAACCCUCUCCCAUAAGAAGGAGACUGUUUGCUUCCUUGUUGGAUUGAUGCAGCAAGAAAUAACGCUUCUUGGAUGUCGGACUCCUCCCUCAGAGUGUGAGUAGCCCCACAUCUAUCUCGCCCCAUACACAGGCCUUCUUCUCUCCCUCGACCUCCCUUUCCAACACCCCUUGUCUCUUUCCCUCCUUCGCAGUAUGCAGGGGCGGCUCUAGGUAUUUUGCUGCCCCAAGCACGGCAGGCAGGCUGCCUUUGGCGGCUUGCCUGCAGGAGGUCCCCAG